GUGGGGAAUAUUGGACAAUGGGCGAAAGCCUGAUCCAGCCAUGCCGCGUGUGUGAAGAAGGUCUUCGGAUUGUAAAGCACUUUAAGUUGGGAGGAAGGGCAGUAAGUUAAUACCUUGCUGUUUUGACGUUACCGACAGAAUAAGCACCGGCUAACUUCGUGCCAGCAGCCGCGGUAAUACGAAGGGUGCAAGCGUUAAUCGGAAUUACUGGGCGUAAAGCGCGCGUAGGCGGUUUUGUAAGUUGGAGGUGAAAUCACCGGGCUCAAUCUGGGAACUGCCUCCAAAACUGCAUGACUAGAGUACGGUAGAGGGUAGUGGAAUUUCCUGUGUAGCGGUGAAAUGCGUAGAUAUAGGAAGGAACACCAGUGGCGAAGGCGACUACCUGGACUGAUACUGACACUGAGGUGCGAAAGCGUGGGGAGCAAACAGGAUUAGAUACCCUAGUAGUCC
This 450-nucleotide ribosomal RNA is filed under the name uncultured bacterium. Its description in RNAcentral is "bacterial SSU rRNA". It matches the Rfam family "Bacterial small subunit ribosomal RNA", at positions 354 to 796 of the family's 1533-position model. The record is from RNAcentral.